RNAcentral lists this long non-coding RNA (260 nucleotides) under Struthio camelus australis. RNAcentral describes it as "lncRNA (ENSSCUG00000000577.1)". The record is from RNAcentral. Lineage: Eukaryota; Metazoa; Chordata; Aves; Struthioniformes; Struthionidae.
CCCCGGGGGCGGGUUGUGGGGCCCCGGUGUCCGGGUGGUGACGCAGCCCUGGCACAGGAGGCCUCGCGUGGUGCCGAGCGGGCGGAGGCAGCAGCGGCGGAGACAGAGGCGCUGCGUGCCAGCACCACCGCCCUCGAGCAGGCGGCAGCGGGGCUGCGGGAGCAGAGCGGGGCGCUGGCCCGGGAGCUGCAGGAGGCCCAGGGUGCCCGCGAGGCCCUCGAGGCCCAGCUGCAGGUGAGGGCUCCCCCGCCGGGGGGCCC